RNAcentral lists this small nuclear RNA (112 nucleotides) under Dasypus novemcinctus (nine-banded armadillo). RNAcentral's name for it is "U1 spliceosomal RNA (ENSDNOG00000030397.1)". It matches the Rfam family "U1 spliceosomal RNA", at positions 1 to 115 of the family's 166-position model. Rfam says of the family: U1 is a small nuclear RNA (snRNA) component of the spliceosome (involved in pre-mRNA splicing). Its 5' end forms complementary base pairs with the 5' splice junction, thus defining the 5' donor site of an intron. There are significant differences in sequence and secondary structure between metazoan and yeast U1 snRNAs, the latter being much longer (568 nucleotides as compared to 164 nucleotides in human). Lineage: Eukaryota; Metazoa; Chordata; Mammalia; Cingulata; Dasypodidae. The record is from RNAcentral.
AUACUUACCUGGCAGGGGAGAUACCAUGAUCAUGAAGUUGUUUUUUCCAAGGCAAGACUUAUCAGUUGCACUCCCUGUGAACUAGAACAAAUAUACAUCGCUAUUGCAGGGU